AUGUGGGAGGGACUCCUGGAGCACACUGGGGGAUGCAGUUGCUCAGGCCACAAGGCAAGAAAAGCCACGCUAUCUCUAGCUCUAUAUCCAUGUAGACUGAGAGAUGGACAACUGGACCUACAGACAAGAGGACUGACAGAGAGUUUUGUUUAUCUAUUAUUCUGUCUUACUGCCUUCCUGUCUAUGUAUCUGUUAGUCAGUGUGUUUCUCUGCCCAUCAGUCCUUUCUGGGUAUCUAUCUCUAUUUAGUUAUGUAUGUAUGUACCUAUCUAUGUAUGUAUCAGUUUCUCAAUUGAUCUACAGUGUCUGUCAAUCAGUCUGUCCAUUGGUCUAUCCCUCUAUCUACCUUAUCAGUCACUCGAUCUUUCCCAUUCUCCUUCUCAGAUGUCCACCCAAACAUAUCAGAACAAGUGGUUGCAGGCAAGCAAAGCAUGUGAUAGUGCCCCUGUGGUGUUCAGAUGGCUCAGAAGAUGUAUGUGGUUCAAGAUUGGACGGGGAGUGGCAGACCUCCACGUUGGCCAGUGAGGCUCCAUCAUUUCUUUCCUAACGUCUUCUGAUUCGACUUUGAGACAACCCAGCACUCUGGAAUCUUUGCUGUGACUUCUCCAAUGGACAGAUGUUCCGUUCCAUCCUCCUAACGAGGUAAAGUGCUCCUAUUUUCAACUUUCCUCCUUCAACUCAAAAUGGGGACUAAGUCUGUCCUUUCUAGGUUCUCUACUUAAUGGGCCUUGGCUCCAGGUAAAUAGAAUUCUCAGGGGAGAUCAAAUAACUAGUUUUCCCUCUGCUGUAGAAUUAUUUCUCAAGUCAAUGAAAAGGAUAGGAAACAAUCCUUCUCCAGAUUCCGUACGUUGGGGACUCCUUCGUAUAUCUCUUAAAGAUGUCACCUUGAGUAAUACUUCAGUUUCUGGGCUGCAGUAAAUUCUGGUCUAGGCUUUUGGCUCCUAUGAAACCUCUUCAGGCAAAUCUUCCCUUUCAUAGGUUUUUAUCUCUUCACCCCCAUACCAGAACUGGGGGAGGGAGGGGUAAAAUCCAGGGCAUUCAUAGAAAUGUCUUAGGAAUUUCCCAGGUCUCUUUCUUUAGUAGUCAUGUGCCAAAGAUCAUCAGAAAUAAUGCACACAAAACCAUCAGUUUUCUCCACUUCGAAAGGAAAAUUAGUUCUCCUUAUUCCCUGGUCUUUUCAAACAAAAACUUAUCUAUUGAAAUGGUUGCACUCUGGAAAUUGACCUUCAAAAUGCCCCAAAUCAGGUUAUUGUAGAUGAAGCUUUUCCUUUCUCAAAAACUCAAACUGGUAACAUUUUCUCUCCAAAAACAAAACUUAGGGUUACUAAGGAAAAGGUUCAAAAUUUUCUCUAACUAGGAACACCUCUACUAUUCCCUUCCCUUUUUUCAUUUUUUACUCUAAUUUCCUUUGGGCUGCCAAUUUGUCUUUCUCUUCUCCUUGCCUCAAAGCACUUUGGCCUAUGGCUAAAGCUGCUCCUAGAGAGGAAAUUUGGGGCUCAUAUAAAAAAUGUUCAGGGUUUCCUAAGCAUUUAAAUCAAAGACUUUCC
RNAcentral lists this long non-coding RNA (1546 nucleotides) under Monodelphis domestica (gray short-tailed opossum). RNAcentral describes it as "lncRNA (ENSMODG00000033771.2)". The record is from RNAcentral. Lineage: Eukaryota; Metazoa; Chordata; Mammalia; Didelphimorphia; Didelphidae.